Molecule: non-coding RNA, 23 nt
Filed under: Cricetulus griseus (Chinese hamster)
Lineage: Eukaryota; Metazoa; Chordata; Mammalia; Rodentia; Cricetidae
Source: RNAcentral
UCAACAAUAAAAGGGUCAGGAGG